GUCGUGAGAUGUUGGGUUAAGUCCCGCAACGAGCGCAACCCUUGUCCCUAGUUGCUACGCAAGGGCACUCUAGGGAGACUGCCGGUGACAAACCGGAGGAAGGUGGGGAUGACGUCAAGUCCUCAUGGCCCUUAUGGGUAGGGCUUCACACGUCAUACAAUGGCCGGUACAGAGGGUUGCCAACCCGCGAGGGGGAGCCAAUCCCAGAAAGCCGGUCGUAGUCCGGAUUGCAGUCUGCAACUCGACUGCAUGAAGUCGGAAUCGCUAGUAAUCGCGGAUCAGCAUGUCGCGGUGAAUACGUUCCCGGGUCUUGUACACACCGCCCGUCACACCAUGGGAGCGGGAUGUACCAGAAGUAGGUAGGCUAACUCGCAAGAGGGGCCGCUUACCACGGUGCGUUUCGUGACUGGGGUGAAGUCGUAACAAGGUAGCCGUAUCGGAAGGUGCGGCUGGAUCACCUCCUUUCUCGGAAACAGGUGACAGGAAUCAGAGGACAGAGGUCAGCAAUGGCCACUGCCGACCGAUCCCUGCUCAUCCAUAUCCCAAGCCGCGAGUACCCACAACCUAUCGGUUGCACGCAACACUGUGCAACGUUAUCCGAAACCGGGCCUGUAGCUCAGUUGGUUAGAGCACCGUCUUGAUAAGGCGGGGGUCGAUGGUUCGAAUCCAUCCAGACCCACCAGCAUCGCACCGGGGCUGUAGCUCAAUUGGGAGAGCGCCUGCUUUGCAAGCAGGAGGUCGUCGGUUCGAUCCCGUCCAGCUCCACCAGCAUCAGGGAUCAGAGGUCAGGGAUCAGGAAUCAGAAGAUUCCAACAGCUAUCGGUUGCGGUGGCACGCAGCGUUCACGUCUCGCUGUUCGACGAGUAGCGAGAGUUGAGAGCUGCAGUGUUCUUUAACAAUUCGGAAGGUAAGGGUUCAUGCGACUGAUGAGAGUCGCGUGAGCAAUAGGGUUGAGUUGUAUCUUCAAAAAGCCGGACGCCUUUUAAAAGGGGGGUGGCCGGUGGCGCGAACACAGCGUAACGGUGGGUCGGAAGCAGGCAACUGCGGAGGGUUCACAGUUAUGGGGUCAAGCGACUAAGUGCAUGUGGUGGAUGCCUUGGCGAUUACAGGCGAUGAAGGACGUGGCAGCCUGCGAAAAGCUCCGGGGAGCUGGCAAACGAGCAUUGAUCCGGAGAUGU
Molecule: small RNA, 1178 nt
Filed under: uncultured beta proteobacterium
Lineage: Bacteria; Pseudomonadati; Pseudomonadota; Betaproteobacteria
Description: bacterial SSU rRNA
Rfam family: Bacterial small subunit ribosomal RNA (bases 1-465)
Source: RNAcentral